This 371-nucleotide ribosomal RNA is filed under the name uncultured bacterium. RNAcentral describes it as "bacterial SSU rRNA". It matches the Rfam family "Bacterial small subunit ribosomal RNA", at positions 527 to 896 of the family's 1533-position model. The record is from RNAcentral.
WGAGGGUGCAAGCGUUKUUCGGAAUUAUUGGGCGUAAAGCGCGUGUAGGCGGCUUUGCAAGUCGGGUGUGAAAGCCCUCAAYUUAACUGAGGAAGUGCGCCCGAAAMUGCAGAGCUUGAGUACCGGAGAGGAUGGCGGAAUUCCCCAAGUAGAGGUGAAAUUCGUAGAUAUGGGGAGGAACACCGGUGGCGAAGGCGGCCAUCUGGACGGAUACUGACGCUGAGACGCGAAAGCGUGGGUAGCAAACAGGAUUAGAUACCCUGGUAGUCCACGCCGUAAACGAUGAGAACUAGGUAUCGUGGGUGUUGACCCCCGCGGUGCCGUAGCUAACGCAUUAAGUUCUCCGCCUGGGAAGUACGGCCGCAAGGSKR